RNAcentral lists this transfer RNA (90 nucleotides) under Puniceicoccales bacterium. RNAcentral's name for it is "tRNA-Ser". It matches the Rfam family "tRNA". From Rfam's summary of the family: Transfer RNA (tRNA) molecules are approximately 80 nucleotides in length. Their secondary structure includes four short double-helical elements and three loops (D, anti-codon, and T loops). The record is from RNAcentral. Lineage: Bacteria; Pseudomonadati; Verrucomicrobiota; Opitutia; Puniceicoccales.
GGAGAGGUGGCAGAGUGGUUUAUUGCGUCGGUCUUGAAAACCGAAGUACCGGCAACGGUACCGUGGGUUCGAAUCCCUCCCUCUCCGCCA